This 421-nucleotide long non-coding RNA is filed under the name Homo sapiens (human). Its description in RNAcentral is "HSALNT0025183". Lineage: Eukaryota; Metazoa; Chordata; Mammalia; Primates; Hominidae. The record is from RNAcentral.
GGACGAGGCGGCGGCCGCGGGGAGGAGGAUGGGGGCUAACCAGUUAGUGGUGCUCAACGUGUACGACAUGGCAACCUCGUUAAAAUAUGAAUGAGGCUAACAUUUCUCAAGAAAAUAGCCCAGCUGAAUUAUUUAGAGAUCCUGGUGGUGCUCCUUUCCUACACUCUGAAGACCACUUUCCAGGUGAUGCAACAGAUUGGGCUGCUGCGGAUCAUUUCUUUUCUUCCAUAACUCUGCCGUAUGCAUGAAAAUAAUUCUAUUGGGGGUCACCAGUAUUAACUUCCUUCUCAUGGAAGAAGAGUGUGAUCCUCAGAAGGUUACUUAAUUAUGCAUAGUGUUCCUAUUGCUUGCUGCCUUAUCAGUGAUUAUGUUCCUCUGUGUACUUUGGAGUAAUCUACCACCAAUAAAAACGUCCUGGAGC